AUGAUCCGCCUGAGUAGUAUGCUCGCAAGAGUGAAACUUAAAGGAAUUGACGGGAACCCGCACAAGCGGUGGAGCAUGUGGUUUAAUUUGAAGAUACGCGUAGAACCUUACCCACUCUUGACAUCCUCGCAAAACUAUAGAGAUAUAGCGGAGGCUAACGAGAUGACAGAUGGUGCAUGGUUGUCGUCAGCUCGUGUCGUGAGAUGUUAGGUUAAGUCCUGCAACGAGCGCAACCCUUUUCUUUAGUUGCUAACAUUAAGUUGAGAACCCUAGAGAUACUGCCGGUGCAAACCGGAGGAAGGCGGGGAUGACGUCAAAUCAUCAUGCCUCUUACGAGUGGGGCAACACACGUGCUACAAUGGCUACUACAAAGAGCAGCGAAACAGUGAUGUCAAG
RNAcentral lists this ribosomal RNA (396 nucleotides) under Mycoplasma ovis. Its description in RNAcentral is "bacterial SSU rRNA". It matches the Rfam family "Bacterial small subunit ribosomal RNA", at positions 864 to 1267 of the family's 1533-position model. The record is from RNAcentral. Lineage: Bacteria; Bacillati; Mycoplasmatota; Mollicutes; Mycoplasmatales; Mycoplasmataceae.